Molecule: ribosomal RNA, 279 nt
Filed under: uncultured bacterium
Lineage: Bacteria
Description: partial 16S ribosomal RNA
Rfam family: Bacterial small subunit ribosomal RNA
Source: RNAcentral
UGCCAGCCGCCGCGGUAAUACGGAGGGUGCAAGCGUUGUUCGGAAUUAUUGGGCGUAAAGCGCGUGUAGGCGGUUCGUUAAGUCUGAUGUGAAAGCCCGGGGCUCAACCCCGGAAGUGCAUUGGAAACUGGCGAACUUGAGUACGGGAGAGGAAAGUGGAAUUCCGAGUGUAGCGGUGAAAUGCGUAGAUAUUACAGAGAACACCGGUGGCGAAGGCGGCUCACUGGCCUGAUACUGACGCUGAGGCGCGAAAGCUAGGGGAGCGAACAGGAUUAGAUA